This is a non-coding RNA of Kluyvera ascorbata ATCC 33433, 78 nucleotides long. NCBI's taxonomy places the organism in Bacteria, Pseudomonadati, Pseudomonadota, Gammaproteobacteria, Enterobacterales, Enterobacteriaceae. The record is from Rfam.
UGCAGGGUAAUUAAUCAGCACGGGCGAAGAGGGUUUCCUCUCCGCCCGUGCUCGCAUGUUAAGGGGCUGAAAAAAACC